RNAcentral lists this transfer RNA (90 nucleotides) under Kutzneria sp. CA-103260. RNAcentral describes it as "tRNA-Val". Lineage: Bacteria; Bacillati; Actinomycetota; Actinomycetes; Pseudonocardiales; Pseudonocardiaceae. The record is from RNAcentral.
CUUGGCGGUGGCGCGGCGCACUCAUACGAGCGCUGCUCACGCCGGCGUCCGGGCUGAGGCGAUCAGGCGGUCACCGCGCCGUGCCGGGCC